GACGAACGCUGGCGGCGUGCCUAACACAUGCAAGUCGAACGGAAGCAAAGAUUUCGGUUUUUGCUUUAGUGGCGAACGGGUGAGUAACGCGUGAGGAACCUGCCUUUCAGUGGGGGACAACAGUUGGAAACGACUGCUAAUACCGCAUAAUGCUUUUGAGUGGCAUCACUUAAAAGCCAAAGAUUUAUUGCUGAAAGAUGGCCUCGCGUCUGAUUAGCUGGUUGGCGGGGUAACGGCCCACCAAGGCGACGAUCAGUAGCCGGUCUGAGAGGAUGAACGGCCACAUUGGGACUGAGAUACGGCCCAGACUCCUACGGGAGGCAGCAGUGGGGAAUAUUGGGCAAUGGGGGAAACCCUGACCCAGCAACGCCGCGUGAAGGAAGAAGGCCUUCGGGUUGUAAACUUCUUUUACCAGGGGCGAAAGAAAUGACGGUACCUGGAGAAAAAGCAACGGCUAACUACGUG
This 465-nucleotide ribosomal RNA is filed under the name uncultured organism. RNAcentral's name for it is "bacterial SSU rRNA". It matches the Rfam family "Bacterial small subunit ribosomal RNA", at positions 28 to 507 of the family's 1533-position model. The record is from RNAcentral.